This is a non-coding RNA of Equus caballus (horse), 938 nucleotides long. The record is from RefSeq and is a predicted model, not a curated record. NCBI's taxonomy places the organism in Eukaryota, Metazoa, Chordata, Mammalia, Perissodactyla, Equidae.
CUUUCAUAGUACAUUAGCCCGCAAAACUUAAAAUAUUUACUAUUUGACCCUUUACAGAAAAAAUCUGCUGACCCCUGGUGUAGGAUGUAGAAGAGGAAUUUAAGGGAGAGCAGUCUGUUUAGAAUUUUCUUCAUACUGUCUACAGAAAACACUUUAUUCUCCCGAAUACAAAGCACUAAAGGAGCUGCCAAGAUCCCAUCCCCAUCACUGUGCUCUCUUGGUAGGGGCCGAUGGAAACAGGAAGAGCUAGAGCUGCAGCAGAGCUUUGGGAACAGUGCCCGGGGUGUGGAUUGGAGAUGCCUCAUGACUUCUGAAGCUCAGGUCCAAGCAAAGUUUCUUUGCCAGGCCAAACUCCAACUGGAAGGAUAAGCUUGGCCUCUGAACUCAGAUGAAGCGCGGAUGAAACCUAUCCAUUUUUGCUGUUUUGGUGAAGCAGAAGCUCCACAUCUUAUGUUGUUGCUGAAUCAUGCUGUUCCUGUGGAGGAGUCUCAUUCAGUCCCAUGUGUACUAUUUUAGCAGAUUUUAGGACUCCCCAUUUUUAUCUGCAGUCUUGACUUGAAAUCUAGACUCACUUAUCGAAGUGACAUCUUCAUCUGGGUGUCCAGUAGGCAUCUCUGAUUGACCAUGUUCAAGACAGACUCUUGAUUCCUCCCCACCACCCCUUCCUCCUAAAGCAUCCCCCAGUUGUGUCAAGUGGCACCAUCUAUUUCCUGAGGCCUAAACCUUGGAGUUAACCUUGACUCUUCCAUUCUCUUCACACCCUAUAUCCAGUCUAUCGGCUCUACAUGUUGUUUUGUCUCUACCUUCAAAAAUAUAUCCACCUCCACUGCUGUCACCCAGGUACAAGCCACCAUUAGCCCUCUUUUUUUUUUUUUUUUGAGGAAGAUUAGCCCUGAGCUAAUAUCUGCCACCAAUCCUCCUCUUUUUGCUGAGGAAGG